Molecule: small nuclear RNA, 107 nt
Organism: Cavia porcellus (domestic guinea pig)
Lineage: Eukaryota; Metazoa; Chordata; Mammalia; Rodentia; Caviidae
Source: Ensembl
GUGCUCACUUGGGCAGCACAUAUACUAAAAUUGGAACAAUACACAGAAGAUUAGCAUGGCCCCUGCACAAGGAUGACACGCAAAUUCAUGAAGCGUUCCAUAUUUUU